RNAcentral lists this ribosomal RNA (253 nucleotides) under uncultured bacterium. Its description in RNAcentral is "partial 16S ribosomal RNA". It matches the Rfam family "Bacterial small subunit ribosomal RNA", at positions 524 to 776 of the family's 1533-position model. The record is from RNAcentral.
UACGUAGGAUGCAAGCGUUGUCCGGAUUUUUUGGGUUUAAAGGGUGCGUAGGCGGCCUAUUAAGUUAGUGGUGAAAACGUUCGGCUUAACCGGAUACCCGCCAUUGAUACUGAUAGACUUGAGUGCGACAGAGGGUGUUGGAAUGUGUGGUGUAGCGGUGAAAUGCUUAGAUAUCACGCCGAACGCCAAUUGCGAAGGCAGAUGCCUAUGUCGUAACUGACGCUGAGGCACGAAAGCGUGGGGAGCAAACAGG